GGAGGGAGAUGGGACGUCUAGGAGGGCGGUCUCCGCCCGAGUCCUAGGGGAGAACGGAUGCAGGCGCCCUCCGUCUGCGCGCCUCCGGUCUUGUUAGGCCUCGGGGGCCUGGGUACGUUGCGGGAAGAAGCGGGGAGGACCGCAGGUGCUUCUCUUGGGACGUAGCUGUCCCGUCCCCCCACCUCCUGGCCGCUGGCGCCGCUGAUGCUACAAGUGCCCCAUUGUGUGGUGUAAGAACCUGGCCCACACCCUUGAAUGCAGGCCCAUGGAGAAGGGACGUGCUCCGUUAAGCAAGCUACAACGCAGGGGCGGAUCCCAGGGAGGCCAGAACUGCCCGGCUCCACACCAAAGAAACAGGUGGACAAAAAGGAAGCUUCUGAUGCCGACUCCACACCGGAGGGGUUUCUACAGCUGGCCCAUCCUGCUGCCACAAGAGGGCUGCUGUGGGGACGCUGAUGGAGCCGCCUCGGGCCUGUGCCGUGGAGUCUGUGUCAGGAUGUUUACAGCGCCCCCAAAACACAAUCUGACCUACUGGCAGCCAUUGGCGACCUGAGCCCUCUGCAAACACUUUCCUCAAUGGAGACGGAAUUUGGUGGCACCUUAAUGAUGGACUACUGGCCGCUAGAAUGGAGAAAAAAAUAAGCCUUGCUUCAGCCACCCAGUCUGUGGUCUCGGUUAUGGCAUCCAGAGCACAUGAAUACAACUGUCAUAAUAACAAUUCCUGUCAGACUUUCAAUAAGCUUGUGUCUUGGGGGAGGGUGAGGAAGGAAAAAAUUGUAACUGGAAUAAAACUCUUGGUCUAAAUGGAAAAUGCA
Sus scrofa (pig) is the source of this 815-nucleotide long non-coding RNA. RefSeq lists it as uncharacterized. The record is from RefSeq and is a predicted model, not a curated record. Lineage: Eukaryota; Metazoa; Chordata; Mammalia; Artiodactyla; Suidae.